UUUUCGUAAUUUAAAUUAAUU
This 21-nucleotide non-coding RNA is filed under the name Caenorhabditis elegans. The record is from RNAcentral. Lineage: Eukaryota; Metazoa; Nematoda; Chromadorea; Rhabditida; Rhabditidae.